UUUAUUUAUAAUGUAUUUAUCAUUCAGCUAUAUAUAAAUAUUGUUGAAGCAUAAUUUGUUAAGUGUGAUUAUUUAUUAACUUUAAGUGAUUUUGUCAUCAUCAAAAUAUGAUGCUUUCAUGGCUCCAACAUGACUUGUUUGGCAUUGUGUACUAAGGUACUAUGUCAUAUUCUUUAAAAAGCAAUGCAAAUGGUCUUAACAUUUGUUUAGUUUCAAUAUAUCUAUCAUAAUAUUCACCACCUCUAUUUAGUUUUACUGCCUUUAUAAGUUUUUUUAAAAUCUUUGAACAUGUCAAAGACUUCAAAUUCUUCACGUAUGAAGCAAAGAUGC
RNAcentral lists this long non-coding RNA (330 nucleotides) under Spirodela polyrhiza (greater duckweed). RNAcentral's name for it is "long non-coding RNA (SPOL_LNC001185)". Lineage: Eukaryota; Viridiplantae; Streptophyta; Magnoliopsida; Alismatales; Araceae. The record is from RNAcentral.